This 311-nucleotide ribosomal RNA is filed under the name uncultured bacterium. RNAcentral describes it as "bacterial SSU rRNA". It matches the Rfam family "Bacterial small subunit ribosomal RNA", at positions 28 to 334 of the family's 1533-position model. The record is from RNAcentral.
GACGAACGCUGGCGGCGUGCCUAACACAUGCAAGUCGAACGAAGUGAAGAGAGCUUGCUUUUUUCACUUAGUGGCGGACGGGUGAGUAACGCGUGAGUAACCUGCCUUUCAGAGGGGGAUAACGUUUGGAAACGAACGCUAAUACCGCAUGACAUAUACGAUUCGCAUGGAUUGUAUAUCAAAGGAGCAAUCCGCUGAAAGAUGGACUCGCGUCCGAUUAGCUAGUUGGCGGGGUAAAGGCCCACCAAGGCGACGAUCGGUAGCCGGACUGAGAGGUCGAACGGCCACAUUGGGACUGAGACACGGCCCAG